This 468-nucleotide ribosomal RNA is filed under the name uncultured bacterium. RNAcentral describes it as "partial 16S ribosomal RNA". It matches the Rfam family "Bacterial small subunit ribosomal RNA", at positions 28 to 507 of the family's 1533-position model. The record is from RNAcentral.
GACGAACGCUGGCGGCGUGCUUAACACAUGCAAGUCGAACGGAAAGGCCCUGCUUUUGUGGGGUGCUCGAGUGGCGAACGGGUGAGUAACACGUGAGUAACCUGCCCUUGACUUUGGGAUAACUUCAGGAAACUGGGGCUAAUACCGGAUAGGAGCUCCUGCUGCAUGGUGGGGGUUGGAAAGUUUCGGCGGUUGGGGAUGGACUCGCGGCUUAUCAGCUUGUUGGUGGGGUAGUGGCUUACCAAGGCUUUGACGGGUAGCCGGCCUGAGAGGGUGACCGGACACAUUGGGACUGAGAUACGGCCCAGACUCCUACGGGAGGCAGCAGUGGGGAAUAUUGCAAAAUGGGCGGAAGCCUGAUGCAGCAACGCCGCGUGCGGGAUGACGGCCUUCGGGUUGUAAACCGCUUUCGCCUGUGACGAAGCGUGAGUGACGGUAAUGGGUAAAGAAGCACCGGCUAACUACGUG